RNAcentral lists this long non-coding RNA (426 nucleotides) under Homo sapiens (human). Its description in RNAcentral is "HSALNT0085610". Lineage: Eukaryota; Metazoa; Chordata; Mammalia; Primates; Hominidae. The record is from RNAcentral.
UGCAAGGUUGGAAAAACAUGGGUCUAUUCCUUGAACAGAAGGCCUAAGAGGAAAGAGAACUCCGAAAAAUUUAACUUACACAUAAAUGGGAUGAUAAACUGCUGAAACCAGAGGAGGAAGCUCAUGAGCCCAUAACAGAGCACAGAGUGAGGCAGGAAAAAAGAAAAGUGUGGUAGAGUUCUAGUGGUAAGAGGCAUGGAUAUUAACCCUUUGAGAAGAGUCUGUUUCUGAAAGAAAAACAACCAGAACAGGAGCCAGGCUUUGCAAAUACAAGCCCUGGCUACUGUGUAAUUGAAUUAGGCUCUCGAUUGCUCAUGGAGUUAGAAUUGGCAUCCUUGGGACCGCAGUGCGGAGGACAGGAACUCGGAAGGGAGAGACAUAUCGUGUUGACUUUAUAUAGAAGAAAAGAAAGAAUACGACCUUAAA